ACGAACGCUGGCGGCGUGCUUAACCCAUGCAAGUCGAACGGGUCUGCCCUGUUUUUUGCGGGGUGGGUCAGUGGCGAACGGGUGAGUAACACGUGAGUAACCUGCCCCUCACUUCUGGAUAACCGCUUGAAAGGGUGGCUAAUACGGGGUGUUCUGGCUGUGCCGCAUGGUGUGGCUGGGAAAGAUUCACUUUUGUGGUGUUUUGGUGGGGGAUGGGCUCGCGGCCUAUCAGCUUGUUGGUGGGGUGAUGGCCUGCCAAGGCUUUGACGGGUAGCCGGCCUGAGAGGGUGGGCGGUCACACUGGGACUGAGAUACGGCCCAGACUCCUGCGGGAGGCAGCAGUGGGGGGUAUUGCACAAUGGGCGGAAGCCUGAUGCAGCGACGUCGCGUGAGGGAUGGAGGCCUUCGGGUUGUGAACUUCUUUUGCCGGUGAAGAAGGUCCUGCUCUUUGUGGUGGGGUUGACGGUAGCCGGGUUAUGAAGCGCCGGCUAACUACGUG
This 499-nucleotide ribosomal RNA is filed under the name uncultured bacterium. Its description in RNAcentral is "partial 16S ribosomal RNA". It matches the Rfam family "Bacterial small subunit ribosomal RNA", at positions 29 to 507 of the family's 1533-position model. The record is from RNAcentral.